RNAcentral lists this long non-coding RNA (3792 nucleotides) under Eucalyptus grandis. Its description in RNAcentral is "long non-coding RNA (EGRA_LNC001620)". The record is from RNAcentral. Lineage: Eukaryota; Viridiplantae; Streptophyta; Magnoliopsida; Myrtales; Myrtaceae.
AAUGCAAUUAUAUAAUAAUAAACAAAAGAAUUUGGGCCGAAUCACUUUUUACCCGACCUAAAAUCCCUCUUUUGCCCAAUCCAAUUUCAACAUGACUCAACUAUUUAAGGAGCCCAUAGUUCCACCUUACACAAACGAGCCGGACUCCCAAACUUUUGUUGGAUCGAAUCAAGAACCACCUCACGGCAGACCGGACCAGACACAAAUAGGAGCCAACACCAAAGAUAACAUCCCUUUGAGGAGAACAUACACCGAAAUAUAAGUACAUAAAGCAGUUCACCCGUUGAUGCGACUUUGAAAAUGCUCCAUAUUUCAUUUCCAUUGUGCCAAACUGAAUCACAUCACUAUCUAGUGCUUGCCACAAAAGAUGAAAGCGCCCUUCCGGCUGAGGAAGGGGCAGAAUCUUGGGCACAUCAGCAAAACAGAGCUCCACCUACCCUCACGCGAGUUCUCAUAAUACAUCUUUACUCCUAACCCCCUGUACAAAAUCUUGACGCUAAGAUAUCAUUUCCACUUUCCCGAUCAAAAAGGAGAAGUUGCAAGGGUUGUCUCUCGUUGUAGCUAUUCUGUUGCAUUGAGUUGCAGAUCCUCCGACGUUGUUGCCAGUUGGCAUUCAAAGGAAAACGUAACAUUAUAGAUGUGUUACCGAUACCACACAAGUGGAGUAGAGACACUCUGGGGUGGCUGAGGCGUCAUGCAGUGCGGUUGCUGCCACUGCUGAAAUCCUUCACUUGAGCUCUGUCCGGCAUAACCAUGCGCUUGUUCUUGAGUUACCGGAUAACUUUCAGUUGCAUCUUCAAUCUCCAUUGUCCCGUCAGCCAUUUCCUCAGCCUCCAUUGCCUCACUACCCUCAGGCUGGAGGAGUUCAAUGCCUGGUGCAGAAGGAAACUGAGAAGGAAUCCAAGGGACCACGGCCAUACAGUUGGUACCUCCCUUGUUUGUCUCUGCAUCACCUGUCUCAUCUUCAAUCAAUUUCUCAUGGGCAGGCUCAUUUGACCAGUAGAAUUGAUCUGGAGCACAUGGAAAAUAAUGUCGAUGAAUUUGUCAUGACACUACCAAAGAAACACAUAUCAUACUGAAGCAAAAAAUCAAGAAACUGCUGGUCUCAAAAAAAGUUCAUAUUUGCAACAAUUCAAAUUUCACAAAAACAAGGUUUUGUUCUUUCUCCCUGGUUGUCAAUAAUGCUUUGCACUUAAAAAAUUUAUUAGAAUUGUCAAUCUUCCUUUUCCCAUUCCAAAAUUUUUCAUAAUUAGAAGGAGACUUUCUCAGAGAUUGUUGAUUGCUGAUUCUUACUUGUCUAGAAGAAGUUUACCUUUCCACCUAAAACUGUUAGUGAGGACCCUCUAAACAUCAACUACUUUAACUUGACCACUUUUACACUUAACAUUCUGAUGCAGCCAACAAAAUCAUUGCAAGAUGAUAUUUAUUCGAAGAUUGGUGUUCUAAAAAGCUUGGGCGAAGACGGACAAUUGGUGACACACGAUCCUAAAAUGGACUCUCCUUCAAGUUUAAUUAGAGAAGUUACCAACUAGGAUUGAGUAUUAUUAGGAUUUAUUAAGUUUCCUUUUCUUAUUUUGGCAGGAUAUUUCCUUUACAGAGGUUUUCAAUUUUGAUUAUAUUUCUUGUUUUGAGAUUUCCUAUUUCCACUAGGAGUAUAUUUAGAGAGUCUAUUCAUUGUUGAGUUGAAACCCAAAGUUGGCGAGUUGACACGUGAGUUGUACACUUUAGGUAAAGAUCAUGAACGUUGUUUUGAGCAACAAACAACAAGAUUGAUGAACUAGCUAAGAAAAUAAAGAAGUUAUUUAUUGUCCUGAGGAUGCAACAUAUAGAAAGAAAUGCUGAUCAUGUCCUUCCACAAUCUAAAAACAGCAGGGGUGUUCAAGUUUCAAGUAUUAGAAGAAUCCGAACUCAAAGGAAGAUGUUGAAUCACAUGCAUGAAAGCAAUAAAAAAAUAAUAAUGGAUCAAGGAAGGAGGAUGGCUUGAAAGUUGUGUGCUUCUGGUGUGGAGAUUUCAGUCUUGUUGUUUAUCAAUGUCCAGUGAAGGUGCAUUGGGCAAGACAAGCAACAUUCUGUUCAAGGUGGUUGUGAAGAUCAAGGAAGCAUAGUUGAGGAUGUUGAUCUCGUUAUACCAUCCAAGUUGGAUUAUCACAUAAAAUUUACAUCAGGAGUUUUUCCUCAAAACAAGCCCCAAUUUAAUUUCUUACUGCUCAAGGAACAGAACUCAUCAUGGUAAUGAUGAAGCUAUAAAUUCAAUUGUUCCACACUUGAAACUCAGAGAUGAAUUUUCUCUGACCAAGGGAGAAUGAUGCAGCCAACAAAAUCAUACAAGAUGAUUUUGUUCAAAGAUUGUUGAUAUUUUUACUAAACUUGAGUGCAGAUGGACCAUUGCUGAUUCAGAAUCAAAAGAAGAGUUUCUUAAAGGAUUAGGAUUCUCUUUCAAGUUUAAUAAGUGAGGUUAUCUGCUAGGAUUUGAAUAUUACUAGAAUUUUAUUAAAUUUUCUUUUCUUUUUAAGAAGGACAUGAUACUUCCCUUUCAGAGGUUUCCCAUUUUGACUACGUUUCAUGUCUUCAGCUAUCCUAUUUUUCGCUAGGAGUGGAACCUUUAGAAAGACUAUUUAUGUGGUGUACUUCUUCAUUUUCAAUAAAGUCAAUAUUUAUCUGAAUUAUGCAAGCAUUCAGUUUAGGAAUUACGAUUGUUGGAUGCAAUUAUUCUUUAUAGGUGUGAUUCUUAUGACACUCUAGGCAUGCUGCUGAGGAAAUUUUGAGUGUGAAGCCUAAAGAUUUAGACUGUGUGGUGAGACUUGUGGACCUGCAUCAUAUUGCCAACAAUUUUUCCACUGUUCAGUAAAAUUUUCAAAUCCACUACUCCAGUGUUGCUCCACGCAUUCAACUGGUUUAUAAUCGAGUUCCAGACAACAAAAGACAUUCUCAUCUCAAAUUUUGGUAUUCGUUUGUGUGAUCUGCUUAUUGUUUAUAUCCUAAAUCCAACUAAUCAAUAAGUUCAACAACCACAAUGCUUGUAUGUACAGAUUUUCUUUCACCAUUUUUAGCCUUUUUACACAAAAACAAAUUCAUCCGCACAAUUUUUAGAUUAGCAGUUCAGCAAUACACCAGAAUAAGAAACAUAGGAGCACAUAAUCCUCUCAGACUUCUAAUCUAAACAUAUGGGCACUCUACCAUAACCAAAAUAAAACUAGAGAAUAAAAUAAACUAGGAUUUGCAAGCGACUGCUCAGUUCCAAAUUAGAAAGAAACAAGCCCAAGCUCGCUGACAACUUGCACUACGUCAACCGGCAGAGUCAUUAAGCAUACUAGAUAAACCAUGUUCAUACCAUCUCCAUUUUCCUCCUAAAACUUAAAAGAGCUGACCGAGCAUCUCAGCCAAGACAAACGAAAACGGCUUAAUCGUCCCAACGAAAACUUAAUCAUCGCAGCAAAAAGGAGAAGCACGACGAAAUAAGAAGGAGCGAGGGCUUGGGUUUACUUACUUUUAAACCCUGAGAUGAAGUCCGGGUCCACGGAAACAGAGAAACUCGAAGGGGAGGGCCCUCCCAGAAGACGGCCGUGCACGGGCUUGAAAAGGACAAUAGCCCUCUCCUCGUUCUCCGAGGCGGAGGCGGCGGCGGCGGCGGCGGCGGCGGCGGAGGCGGAGGCGGAGGCGGAGGAUGAGGCCGAUUCCGCCGGCAAUUCCUCGAUCACCGGGCCGCUGCUCCGGUUCUGCAGGUAGGGCAUCGCGAUUUCAGGUUCAUCGUCCUCCAUUAUAGGCGGUAGCUCCGCGUCCUAUCACACAACA